This 112-nucleotide ribosomal RNA is filed under the name Bacillus subtilis subsp. subtilis str. BSP1. The record is from RNAcentral. Lineage: Bacteria; Bacillati; Bacillota; Bacilli; Caryophanales; Bacillaceae.
UUAUAUAGAGGAGAUGAAAGAAUGGCUUUAACAGCUGGAAUUGUUGGUUUGCCGAACGUCGGAAAAUCAACACUAUUUAACGCAAUUACACAGGCCGGUGCCGAAUCAGCCA